CAACCCCUGUGACAUACCACUUGUUGCCUCGGCGGAUCAGCCCGCUCCCGGUAAAACGGGACGGCCCGCCAGAGGACCCCUAAACUCUGUUUCUAUAUGUAACUUCUGAGUAAAACCAUAAAUAAAUCAAAACUUUCAACAACGGAUCUCUUGGUUCUGGCAUCGAUGAAGAACGCAGCAAAAUGCGAUAAGUAAUGUGAAUUGCAGAAUUCAGUGAAUCAUCGAAUCUUUGAACGCACAUUGCGCCCGCCAGUAUUCUGGCGGGCAUGCCUGUUCGAGCGUCAUUUCAACCCUCAAGCACAGCUUGGUGUUGGGACUCGCGUUAAUUCGCGUUCCUCAAAUUGAUUGGCGGUCACGUCGAGCUUCCAUAGCGUAGUAGUAAAACCCUCGUUACUGGUAAUCGUCGCGGCCACGCCGUUAAACCCCAACUUCUGAAUGUUGACCUCGGAUCAGGUAGGAAUACCCGCUGAACUUAAGCAUAUCAAUAAGCGGAGGA
RNAcentral lists this ribosomal RNA (496 nucleotides) under Fusarium oxysporum. Its description in RNAcentral is "eukaryotic LSU rRNA". The stretch from base 131 to 284 matches the Rfam family "5.8S ribosomal RNA". The record is from RNAcentral. Lineage: Eukaryota; Fungi; Ascomycota; Sordariomycetes; Hypocreales; Nectriaceae.